CGGAAGAGCCUUGUCAUCGUGCGUGCUGGAAGCCUCAAGAACUCCCAUCAUCGCAGUUCACAAGGCUCUUCCUUGUUCCCGGAGAAGUUGUCCACAGGCGUCACUCGGUGAAUCCGG
This is a small RNA of Streptomycetaceae bacterium MP113-05, 117 nucleotides long. It matches the Rfam family "Actinobacteria sRNA Ms_IGR-7". The record is from Rfam. NCBI's taxonomy places the organism in Bacteria, Bacillati, Actinomycetota, Actinomycetes, Kitasatosporales, Streptomycetaceae.